Molecule: non-coding RNA, 111 nt
Filed under: Chloroflexota bacterium
Lineage: Bacteria; Bacillati; Chloroflexota
Description: Chloroflexi bacterium SAM-I sequence
Rfam family: SAM riboswitch aptamer (S box leader)
About the family: The SAM riboswitch is found upstream of a number of genes which code for proteins involved in methionine or cysteine biosynthesis in Gram-positive bacteria. The SAM riboswitch acts at the level of transcription termination control. The predicted structure consists of a complex stem-loop region followed by a single stem loop terminator region.
Source: RNAcentral
CUCUUAUCCGGAGAGGUGGAGGGACCGGCCCUACGAAACCUCGACAACCUAUCGGGGAACAGUCCGAUGUGGUGCCAAAUCCGGCAGACAAUUUGUUCUGAUAGAUGAGAG